GCCGGGAAAAAGACAGACGAACUAAAAACUGCAAAAAAAAAAGAAAAAAAAAAAAGUCAGACGCAGAUGUCACGUCCAUUGAGAGGAAUGAAUGAAGGGCAAGUAAAUUGUGCAUUGGCUGACACACUGCACUGAGCCGUGUGAGCAGCGUGUUAUGAUACGUGUUAGCGAAAU
Long non-coding RNA from Sinocyclocheilus rhinocerous, 174 nucleotides. RefSeq lists it as uncharacterized. Lineage: Eukaryota; Metazoa; Chordata; Actinopteri; Cypriniformes; Cyprinidae. The transcript has 2 exons. The record is from RefSeq and is a predicted model, not a curated record.